Molecule: small nuclear RNA, 107 nt
Organism: Bison bison bison
Lineage: Eukaryota; Metazoa; Chordata; Mammalia; Artiodactyla; Bovidae
Source: Ensembl
AAGCUCACUUGGGAAACACAUACAUUAAAACUAGAACAAUCCAGAGAAGAUUAGCAUGGCCUCUGCACAGGGAUGCCACACAAAUUUGCGAACCAAUGAUAUUUUUA